RNAcentral lists this ribosomal RNA (204 nucleotides) under Diversispora epigaea. The record is from RNAcentral. Lineage: Eukaryota; Fungi; Glomeromycota; Glomeromycetes; Diversisporales; Diversisporaceae.
UGAGAGGAAUGUGGGCAGCUUGCUGUGUUAUAGCCUCUUGUUGUACACGGUGCCUGGGAUUNAGGACUGCAGCACGCCUUUGUAGGGGUUCGCCCACUCCACGUGCUUAGGAUGCUGGCGUAAUGGCUUUAAACGACCCGUCUUGAAACACGGACCAAGGAGUCUAACAUAUAUGCGAGUGUUAAACACUCGCAUAUAUGUUAG